This 57-nucleotide ribosomal RNA is filed under the name Trametes hirsuta. Its description in RNAcentral is "partial 28S ribosomal RNA". It matches the Rfam family "Eukaryotic large subunit ribosomal RNA", at positions 1 to 57 of the family's 3401-position model. Lineage: Eukaryota; Fungi; Basidiomycota; Agaricomycetes; Polyporales; Polyporaceae. The record is from RNAcentral.
UGACCUCAAAUCAGGUAGGACUACCCGCUGAACUUUAGCAUAUCAAUAAGCGGAGGA